CACAGCUAGUUCCUCCUCUGCAGUCUGACUUCAUUUCCGGUGCCGCAGUGCAAGGAGCAGGAGUGAGCCGACUGGAAACAUCGGUCUGGGAUCUGAGUGACGGAGCAACGGGCGUAGAUGGCAAGGAAGAUGAAAUUGCUCUCUGCUGAUAGACUCUUGGAUGAGAUGCGUUAGAGUUCAAGCAAAUGACCCAUCCUGUGUUCCUACAGUGGAGGAGUCACUGAUUUAGAAAGUGUAUGAGCUGGCACACACUCUUGUAGAAGAACUUAAAGCUUUCUUUUCAAAUCAACAAACUAAACUUGGCUGGCUCAUAAGCCCUCAGGAAUACGAGCUGCCUUUUACCUGGAACCUGACCAUGCACAGAGAUGCUGUGCCUUGCCUAUCAGUAAAACACAAAGACAUUUAAGCAGAAAUAGAGGAAAUUUGAUGCAAUGGUUCAAGACUCGGACUCCAAUUUUGAAAAGAUCCUGGAUCUAUCAAUUUCCAACUAUAGGAAUUUGGGAUCAAACCUGAAACCUUGGUGUAUCAGGACAACACUCUACCAAACUGAACUACCUAGAGGAGGCUCCACUGUUUUUCUGUAAUAUAUAGAACCUCCAGCAGAAGGUCACAAGUGGGGCAGCACCAUCAUCCUACAUCCGGGGAAAAGCCAGGUGGUUUCUAAAGGAAGGAACAAGCGAGGAACCAGACAGCAGUGGGACCCCCUUUCUCCGGCCCCUGUCUGCGUAUCUGCCUCCCUCCCACAGCGCAGAGUUUGGCAACAGCAGCAGAAUCCUGUAAGCAAUGGGAAAAGAAGAAUUGAAACUCCCUGAGACCCUCCCCAGCACUGACUCAGUACUAAAGUCAAGCUGACCUCCACUGACUUCUCUCCACUGACAUGUCCACAGUCCAGCAAGCUCUCAACCCUAAAGUAGCCAUCCAAGUGGGGUCAAGGGCGGUAAGAAGUUUGAACUUGGAAGGGCUCUUAACCCAUCAAGGUUGCCUUCACUGCAGCACAAAGCACAGAGCCCAAUUUGAAAGGCCUCCCAGCAUUGCUUUGGGAUCCUCCACCACCCCCAAACCAAGAAUGCAAAAAAAAAAGUUUAGAACACUUGAUAAAAUGCAUAUUGAGUGGGAUUCUUCCAGUCUUAAAGAUGGUCACAUUUUCUAAUUAAGAGCUCUCAAGGAGCAGAAGCAGAUUCUAAAUGAACGAGCCUGAGUUCAGGAAUGGUGGAACAAAGUGGAUGUUCCCAGAGUGGUUUUAAGUCAGAUACCUACCUGUUCUCUGGUCAUAAAUCUCUAAAUUCAGUCCACCCCUCCCAGACUUAUUACAGCACCUUUCGCAUUGUCUGAAGAACCCAUAACUUAUUUGAAUGUCAGUUGGGUUUACUUAUGCUGCUUUUUAAAAAAUGCACACACCCCAAGAAAUGUGUGAAGGCUUUUCUUCACCAACACUUGAGUGCAAAGUUACCUAAUUAGCGGGCUUCCUUUCUAACACCGGCUCUGAGCAAUCACUUUAAACACAAUGAAGAAGGAGGGUGUGGAGAGAGAGGAAGAGGAGCCAAGAACUCAGAAAGAGAAGAGAAGUCUCCUGAGAGGAAAGGGGUCCCACUGUCUUGGAAGGUGGCCAGAUUCUGGUCCUGUGUAAGAAGAAAGAACAGCACGCAUUCCAAGCCUGCAGCUGCCCUCGUGUGAAAUGAUGAGGUGUGGAUCCUGCUGCUGUCAACUCGCAGUCAUUGCAGAAGGAACACUCCUCGUCUCUAACGGCACAGGCCUGGAUAGGAACUUGGAGAUCAUCUGCCCCGACACUCCUUGGAAUGGAAAACCGAAGUCCAAAGAGGGAAAUGACCUGCCAAAAAUCACACAUCAUUGAAUGAUGAAUCUGAACUACAAACAAAGUCUCUCUCUCAUCCUGGUCUCAGAGCGCCCAGCACGGUGCAAGCCACACAGGAUGCUUAGUGAAUGCUGGCUUCCUUUAUGCAUUUUUCCCUCCUCCCUCUGCUGGUCCCUCCUCUCCUUCCUGCUCAUCAGAUUAAAGUAAUUUAUAAGCACUUAGUGCUUAUUUUCCUGGGACUUUUUCCAAAUUUGGUUAGAUUUAU
Molecule: long non-coding RNA, 2078 nt
Organism: Artibeus jamaicensis (Jamaican fruit-eating bat)
Lineage: Eukaryota; Metazoa; Chordata; Mammalia; Chiroptera; Phyllostomidae
Exons: 9
Source: RefSeq, a predicted model, not a curated record